UGGGGAAUAUUGCACAAUGGGGGAAACCCUGAUGCAGCAACGCCGCGUGAAUGAAGAAGGCUCUUGGGUCGUAAAGUUCUUUCGACAGGGAAGAAGGGUAGGUUGGCUAACAUCCAACUUACUGGACGGUACCUGCAGAAGAAGCACCGGCUAAUUCCGUGCCAGCAGCCGCGGUAAUACGGGAGGUGCAAGCGUUGUUCGGAAUCACUGGGCGUAAAGAGCACGUAGGCGGGUCUGUAAGUCAUCUGUGAAAACCCUGGGCUCAACCCGGGACCUGCAGGUGAAACGGCAGAUCUUGAAUACCUAAGAGGGUGGGGGAAUUCCUGGUGGAGAAGUGAAAUUCGUAGAUAUCAGGAGGAACAUCGGAGGCGAAGGCGCCUGCCUGGUAGUGUAUUGACGCUGAGGUGCGAAAGUGCGGGGAGCAAACAGG
Molecule: ribosomal RNA, 430 nt
Filed under: uncultured bacterium
Lineage: Bacteria
Description: bacterial SSU rRNA
Rfam family: Bacterial small subunit ribosomal RNA
Source: RNAcentral